UUUCUUUCUAAUUGAUCAUCGAAUCAAAUCGAUUCAACCGUAGUUAGAAACCCACAAUGUUAGCGAAACUGAUUCAUUCUCCGUUAAUCUUUCUCGUUCGACCCAAUUUCUUCUCUGUUAGCGUUGAUUCAUUCUUUCUUUAAUCUUUGAUUACUCAAACCCUAAAAAAAAAUCUGAACGAUUCAACAUCGUCAUUUUAGGGUUUCAUGUUUCUGAACCCUAAAAUUCUUGAUUCGAUUUGAAAGAGAUAUUUGGAAUGGAAAAGAAUUCUAUGCCCUUGCAACUUAUGAUCAAACCAUUAAACGACAACGAUGCUAAGGUGUGUGGAUUCACUUCACUCUCAAUUCCAAUUGUAAAGGUUAUUAUUUUAUUGCUUUUUCCUUAAAUCCAUGUUUAAUUGUGUGUUGCUGGAAUUGUAGGAACUUGUUACUCCGAGUUCUCAUCCACAAUUAAGUCACAAUGCUAGUAAGUUGUUAUAACUUUACAGGUAAUUGAUUUGUGUCUUUUUCGUCUGUAAUGUUGCUCUUAUUUUAUUGGGUCUUGUUUGGAUAUGUCCCUUGAUGUCCCUAAUAGGAAAUGUCCAUCGAUGUCUCUAAAUUGUAUAUAUGUCCCUUAAUGUACCUAAAUUGAGUAUGUCCAUAAAUUGACGGCUGUAAUGGAAUUUAAAUGUGAAUGCUUAUUCGUAACUUCAAAUGCAUUUGAUGUGAAAUAGAGUUUAUGUCGCUCGAUGUCCCUAUAUUGAGUAACUGUCCCUCAUGUCUCUAAAUUGUAUAUAUGUCGGUAAAUUGAGAAUAUGUCCCUCAAUGUCCCUAAGUUGAUGGCUUUAAUGAAAUUUAAAUGUGAAUGCUUAUUCAUAACUUCAAAUGCCGAGAUUAUGUCCCUCGAUUUCCCUAUAUUGAGUAAAUGUCCCUCGAUGUCUCUAAAGUGUAUAUAUGUCCCUCGAUGUCCCUAAAUUUACAGUGUCCGUCAAUGUCCUUAAAUUGACGGCCUUAAUGGAAUUUAAAUGUGAAUGCUUAUUCAUAACUUCAAAUGCGUUUGAUGGGAAAUAGAGUUUAUGUCCCUUGAUGUCCCUAAAUUGUAUAUAUGUCCCUCGAUGUCCCUAAAUUGAGAAUGUUCCUCAAUGUCCCUAAGUUGACGGCUUUAAUGGAAUUUAAAUGUGAAUACUUAUUCAUAACUUCAAAUGCCUUUGAUGUGAAAUAAAGUCUAUGUCCCUCGAUGUCCCUAUAUUGAGUAAAUGUCCCUCGAUGUCUCUAAAUUGUAUAUAUGUCCCUCAAUGUCCCUAAGUUGACGGCUUUAAUGGAAUUUAAAUGUGAAUGUUUAUUCAUAACUUCAAAUGUAAGUGGAGAUGACCUGUGGCACCAUAGAUGGAAAUAGUAUGAUAUGUCCCUCGAUGUCCCUAAAUUGAAUAUAUGUCUCUGGAUGUCGCUAAAUUGAAGGUCUGAGUGAUUGCAAUUUCAAUGUGAGUGGUAUUUCAAUGUGAAUGCUUAGUCAUAACUUGAAAUGUAAGUGGAGAUGACCCUUAAUGCAAUGACUAUAUUAUGCUUUUGGUAACAGUAAAUUGGGAUGAUGAUUUUGUGCCAAAUGAUCUUAGAUGCAAAAAUUGAAUAUAUGUCUCUUGAUGACCGUAAAUUGUUAGCCUAAAUUCAAUUUCAUUAUGAAUUUUUAUUCAUAACUUGAUAUGCAUAUUGAGACGACCCAUGAUACAGUGACCUUGUAUGCUUUUGGUUACCUUAGAUGUGAAAUUGAGUAUAUGUUACUUGAUGACUUUGAAUGCAAAAUUCAAUAUUUGAGUCUUACAACCUCUAAAUUGUUGGCUAUUAAUGAGAAAUGGAAAAGAACUUUAAGAUUCUUGAUUGGACCUUCUAUGACUCUGUAAAUCCUAUCAGAUUUAGUAGUGUUGCUUGUAUCGAUUUGAUUUCUUGUGAUUUUUAUCACUUCUACAUCUUUGUUUUCAAUUUUUUAUCCUUUAUCUUUUGGAAUGUUUUCUAAUUGAUUUGACUCAAUUUUGUCUUUCGUGAAGGUAACGCAAAUUCUCCGAAAUAUUGUUCGACAGAAAUGUUGUUUUGGGUAGUUUUUGUAUGCAUUGAUUAUCCAAGAGUCUGCUAACUAGUGAAUCUUAAUUUUUCAUGCCUAAGAAGGUUAAUUUGGCCCCUAUGAAAUUGCGUAGUUGCUUUAAGAAUUCUUAAGACAAGUCUUGGGAUGCUGUAUUUGGAUGACCCAAUAAAAUGAUUUUUUUUUACCAAUUAUGCGGCUUACAAUAUGAAUUAUAUAUUCAUAUGGAAUCAGGAUGAUAUACAUGAAAAUUUUGAUGGUCUAAAUGCAAGCUGAAACUUUGCUAAGAAGGUUGUGUGACUUGUUAAUUUUGAUGUGAAAUUGAGUAUAUGUCCCUCAAAUGUCUCUAAAUUGAGUAUAUGUCCCUCGAUGUCCCUAAAUUGAUGGUCUGAAUGGAACUUGAAUGUGAAUGCUUAUUCAUAACUUCAAAUGUAAGUGGAGAUGACAGUUGGUGCUAUAGAUGCGAAAUAGUAUAUAUGUCCAUCUAUGUCCCUAAAUUGAAUAUAUGUCCCUCGAUGUUCCUAAAUUGAACAUAUGUCCCUCGAUGUCCCUAACUUGAAUGUAUGUCCCUCGAUGUCCCUAACUUGAAUAUAUGUCCUCGAUGUCCCUAAAUUGAAGGUUUGAAUGAAUGCAAUUUCAAUGUGAAUGCUUAGUCCUAACUUGAAAUGUAAGUGGAGACGACCCUUGAUGCAAUGACUAUACUAUGUUUUUGGUAAUGGUAAAUUGGGAUGAUGAUUUUGUGCUGAGUGAUCUUAGAUGCAAAAAUUGAAUAUAUAUCCCGUGAUGACCGUAAAUUGUUGGCCUAAAUUCAAUUUCAUUAUGAAUUUUUAUUUAUCACUUGAUAUGCAUAUCGAGACGACCCAUGAUACAGUGACUCUAUGAUGCUUUUUUAUUAAUGAUAAGUUGGCAUGAAUGCAUGAUGGUGGUGUGCUUUUGGUUACCUUAGAUGUGAUGUGAAAUUGAGUAUAUAUUAAUUGAUGACUUUGAAUGCAAAAUUCAAUAUUUGAGUCUUACAACCUCUAAAUUGUUGGCUAUUAAUGUAGAAACAGAAAAGAAUUUUAGCUUCUUGAUUGGACCUUAAAGACGCUGCAAACCCUUUCGGACAAAAUAAGAUGUGUUUGGCACUUGUAGCCGAUGAAACUGCUGCAGUUCAUUUUCAGCUUUGGGAGAUGAAUGUGAUUAUUUUGAUUCAGGUGACAUCAUUUAU
Molecule: long non-coding RNA, 3259 nt
Filed under: Trifolium pratense (red clover)
Lineage: Eukaryota; Viridiplantae; Streptophyta; Magnoliopsida; Fabales; Fabaceae
Description: long non-coding RNA (TPRA_LNC009424)
Source: RNAcentral